AUUAAAAUCAGCACACUAAUCACAGUUUUAUGUUAAUCGCAAUAUGGACUGGUGCAAUAUCCAAAUCACAGAAGGGGGCAAUAUUUGUUAAAGG
Molecule: long non-coding RNA, 94 nt
Organism: Etheostoma spectabile (orangethroat darter)
Lineage: Eukaryota; Metazoa; Chordata; Actinopteri; Perciformes; Percidae
Exons: 5
Source: RefSeq, a predicted model, not a curated record